This 621-nucleotide ribosomal RNA is filed under the name uncultured bacterium. Its description in RNAcentral is "bacterial SSU rRNA". It matches the Rfam family "Bacterial small subunit ribosomal RNA", at positions 338 to 961 of the family's 1533-position model. The record is from RNAcentral.
CCUACGGGAGGCAGCAGUAAGGAAUAUUGGACAAUGGUCGCAAGACUGAUCCAGCCAUGCCGCGUGCAGGAUGACAGCCCUAUGGGUCGUAAACUGCUUUUGUGCGAGAAAAAACCCCUCUACGUGUAGAGGGCUGAUUGUAUCGUAAGAAUAAGGAUCGGCUAACUCCGUGCCAGCAGCCGCGGUAAUACGGAGGAUCCAAGCGUUAUCCGGAUUCAUUGGGUUUAAAGGGUGCGUAGGCGGAAUGAUAAGUCAGUGGUGAAAGCCUGCAGCUUAACUGCAGAACUGCCAUUGAUACUGUCAUUCUUGAGUACAUUUGAUGUGGGCGGAAUGUGUCAUGUAGCGGUGAAAUGCUUAGAUAUGACACAGAACACCGAUUGCGAAGGCAGCUCACAAACUGUAACUGACGCUGAGGCACGAAAGCGUGGGUAUCAAACAGGAUUAGAUACCCUGGUAGUCCACGCUGUAAACUAUGAUUACUCGAUGUUUGCGAUACACUGUAAGCGUCCAAGCGAAAGCGUUAAGUAAUCCACCUGGGAGUACGNUCGCAGAGUGAAACUUCGAAAGGAAUUGACGGGCUUGAGGACGNGACGACGGACGACGAACGGAGGGGAAGGAAGG